UCUCUUUCUCUCUCUCAUAUAAUCAUAUUCUCUCACUCAUUUUGGAGAAACCCUAUUUAGGGUUGACCAUACCCCUUCUCUUGAGAAAUGAGCCUCUCCUUAUUCUUCCACAGCUUUCUUGAACUGCGCCGAAUUGUACGUCGCCGCACCGGAGGCGAUGCAAUCGUAUGCGGUUCAAUAAAGCUGUGGGAAGAUACGGUGAGGCUCACCCGGAAUUCCACUUUCAUUGCAUGCUUUAUUUCCCCUUUUUCUUGCUCCAUUCAAUUCCUCCAAAUCCACAGUUGAUUUCUCGGUUGAUUUAAAAUUACUUGUUCUUGAUUUUUUUUAAAUUAAAAAAAGGGGGGGGGGGUUAUUGAAUUGAUGUUUUUGAGAAUUAAUGGUGACAGGCCCUCAACCACACAAGAAGGAUAAGAGAAAAAAAGGAGAAAGAUCUGUGGGCUGUUUUAUUUGAGAUCUUUACAUCCAAAUAAUACCAAAAAAAAUAUGUAUAACCAAAAGGAGUGAGGGGUUGUAUUGGGUAGCUAUGAUUGGUGGGGACUGGUAAUUACAUAAUUUUUUAUUGUACAGAGAUGGGAAGAAUGGACCACAUAGAAUUGAUGAAAUGGAAGCAAGAGAAGCUAUGGAUGGAAAUGGCAAAGCAUGUUGCUGAAAAUGGGGGAUGCCUUUGUAAGUGCGAGGUAGAUAUAGCAUUUACCAAUGGUGAUUUCACCUUGGUAAGGGGUAAAAAGUCAAAAUGUUUGCAGAAGAAAACCAAACAAGUUGAAGAAAACUAGGUUGCCACCCCCGACCCCCACACAGGUAAAAAGACAUUCUAGUAGUAUGAAAACAACAAUCUUGUUUUGUCUUGUUAGGGCCCUAAUGCCUCAAUAUCAGAUACUAAUGUUCCUGCCCCUCCUCUUUAAUAUAUCAACCCCACUCUCUAUUGGGAUAAUCAACAUCUUAGUGGUAUCAUAUUAUAAUUAAUUAGUGCUGCUAACUUUCUUUUCUUUACAGCAAGGAAAUUAUUCAAUCAAUUAGUGCAUGGCUUGCUUUCUUCUCUUUGCUUUAAUUACCUCUUUCUGUGUGUGUGGUGAAAGAUCAAUAUAUAUGGGCAUGGAUGAAUGUAUUUUUAAUAAAUUAUCAAGUAUAUAAAUAUAGUUGGUUUUUUUUCUAUUAAAGUGAAAAGUAUUUGUCUGAUGUGCAACGCAUUUCUGCUUUUGGUUAUAAAGAUAAGAGGUAAAAGGUUGAUCUCCCUCUGCUCUUUAUCCAUUUAUGGUUGAAAAGUGGAAAUUAAAAGACAGGAAAAAAAGUAGUGAUUUGAUCCAAGGCGAUCUCGCUGCUGAUAUGGGUGUCUUGGAUGAAUUCAGUAAGAAACCCAAAACCCUUUUUCCAUAAUCAUUAAUUGAAAUCCAAAUCACAUUCUUAAUUGAAAUUGAAUAAUGGGAAGUUGGUUGUGCGUAGAUAGCAACGCGACGGCGUCGAUGAUGCUCGCUGUCUCUCUCAUAAUUGCGUCGUGUGUUGGCAAUCUUUAUCUCCUUUGAUCACGGAUGCUGCUCCCUUUCCUCAUUCAUUUGUUUCGUACUAUGUUAUGUACACUCCAUUUCUACUCAACGCCUCUUUUCAAUCUAAGCUUCACCACUUCGGAUUCCGCCUCUGCCUUCCCAAUUCAACUUCACUGUCACUGUCACGUCUUUCAAAUAUUCCACCAAUAUCUUAUUAAUGCUCCCAUAGGUGCACAUCCACCAAAAAAUUACUCCCUCCGUCCCACCCAAGGGAAACAAACGACUCACCUUCGUUGGGACGGCUUCAAAAGGAAUGGAGGGAGUACUUAUUAUAAUUAACUGAAGGUAAAUAAGCUCACAUUAUAAAUAAUGUUAAUUAGUGAUAUAUUUGAGAGUUUAAUGUUGGAAUUAUGUAUGAAUAAGCUAUCAUUGCUAAAUUGCUAAAAUUAAUUAGGGAUAUAUAGUAAGAUCAAGAGCCUCAUAGUUUGAUGGUAUCAAUUGCAUACGAGUUGAUGGCUUUUUUAUUUAAUAAUGAUGAUAAUAUUAACAACAGCGGGGGAUAAAGAUUCGUAUAAAGACGGUACACAUAAAUUCAUAUUUCAAACAUUUACUAUAUGAUUUGAAUGUGAAUAUAGGUACGUAUUAUUUUGAUGUCGACAUAGUUUUGGUGGGGAGGGAUAAGAAACAACCUGAUCCGGGGAGACGUGAGAAGAUUAAUUUACAUGCAUUUGUAGUGCUGUCAAAGCAAAAUUUAGAAUGAUUAUAUAUGAGCAAAAUUUUUGUAUAGCCGUAAAAUGGCCAUUGUUUUUUUUUUUUUAAUUAAUAAAUAAUUAAAUUUAAAGGUUACGUGAUAUUUUUUUUUUUGAAACCACAAUGUUACAAUUUCCAUUAUGGAGUACUAUCUAAAUUGCACGACAUUAUAAUUACAAGAUAGAGUAAAUAUGUGCAAAUUAACCAUAAUGUACCUUCAUUUCGAAUUGGCAAGGAAACAAAAUCAGUCAUUAAUUUUCCAUCCUUUGUUUAAUAGUUCCAUCUAUCCUUGCAUUAUUUUAUCUUUUAGUUUCUUGGAGUUUAUUUUAUUUUAUUUUAUUUUCUAGGUCUACAUGUAUAGUUUUCCAGAUUUAUUUUUCAUUUUUUGGGUUAUUUUUAAUUCCAGUAUUUAUCUUUUAUUGUUUAUAAUUUUGGGGGAUCUUUUAAGUUUUGGUUUAUUUCAAGGUGGGUUUAUUUUUAAUUUUUUAUUGUUAAUUUUUAAUUUAUAAUUGCAUAUAAAUUAUUCAACUUUAAUUCAACAAAUUGUUAUUUUAUACACGAACUUUCAAAUAUGUAUUAAAAUUACACAUUUUUUUUAUAUACUCGCUCAGUUUUCGACCAUAUUUUAGGCAUAAAACAAUGUCGUUUUCAUUCGACUCUACAAUACAUCGAUUCUAUUUUUUUACAAUAUCAUAUUUAUGUCACACGAGCAUAUUUAUGCCAUGUCACCACGAAAAAAAUCGGUGACUAUGCAAAAUGAGAAAAAAAAAAAAAAUAGGUGAGUAAUUUUAAUAUAGAUUUUAAAGUUUGUUUGGAAAAUUAGAAUUUGUUGAAAGUUAAGUCAUUGUAUGCAAUUAACCUUUUCAAAUAAGGGUUUAUUUUAAAAUGUUUUUAAUUAAUCUUUUUUUCAAGGAUUUUUAAUUAAUUUUUUAUUAGGCUUAAAAUGUUUUGAUAUUUUUAGAUUAUUUACACAUAUUUUUAAAUAUAUAUUUUUCUUAUUUAGAGUAUCCCUUCUAGACUAUUACACA
Salvia miltiorrhiza (redroot sage) is the source of this 3259-nucleotide long non-coding RNA. RefSeq lists it as uncharacterized. NCBI's taxonomy places the organism in Eukaryota, Viridiplantae, Streptophyta, Magnoliopsida, Lamiales, Lamiaceae. The transcript has 2 exons. The record is from RefSeq and is a predicted model, not a curated record.